UGGCUCAGUGGUAGAGCACUUGCCUUACAUGCAUGAGGCCCUGGGUUCAAUUCCUCAG
RNAcentral lists this transfer RNA (58 nucleotides) under Dipodomys ordii (Ord's kangaroo rat). It matches the Rfam family "tRNA", at positions 8 to 63 of the family's 71-position model. Rfam says of the family: Transfer RNA (tRNA) molecules are approximately 80 nucleotides in length. Their secondary structure includes four short double-helical elements and three loops (D, anti-codon, and T loops). Further hydrogen bonds mediate the characteristic L-shaped molecular structure. tRNAs have two regions of fundamental functional importance: the anti-codon, which is responsible for specific mRNA codon recognition, and the 3' end, to which the tRNAs corresponding amino acid is attached (by aminoacyl-tRNA synthetases). tRNAs cope with the degeneracy of the genetic code in two manners: having more than one tRNA (with a specific anti-codon) for a particular amino acid; and 'wobble' base-pairing, i.e. permitting non-standard base-pairing at the 3rd anti-codon position. The record is from Rfam by way of RNAcentral. Lineage: Eukaryota; Metazoa; Chordata; Mammalia; Rodentia; Heteromyidae.